Molecule: ribosomal RNA, 258 nt
Filed under: uncultured bacterium
Lineage: Bacteria
Description: partial 16S ribosomal RNA
Rfam family: Bacterial small subunit ribosomal RNA
Source: RNAcentral
GGCGGACGGGUGAGUAACGCGUGGGUAACCUGCCUCACACUGGGGGAUAACAGUUAGAAAUAGCUGCUAAUACCGCAUAAGCGCACAGUUCCGCAUGGAACAGUGUGAAAAACUCCGGUGGUGUGAGAUGGACCCGCGUCUGAUUAGCCAGUUGGCGGGGUAACGGCCCACCAAAGCGACGAUCAGUAGCCGGCCUGAGAGGGUGAACGGCCACAUUGGGACUGAGACACGGCCCAAACUCCUACGGGAGGCAGCAUG